RNAcentral lists this ribosomal RNA (253 nucleotides) under uncultured bacterium. Its description in RNAcentral is "partial 16S ribosomal RNA". It matches the Rfam family "Bacterial small subunit ribosomal RNA", at positions 524 to 776 of the family's 1533-position model. The record is from RNAcentral.
UACGAGGGGGGCAAGCGUUGUUCGGAAUUAUUGGGCGUAAAGAGCUCGUAGGCGGUUUGUCGCGUCUGCUGUGAAAACUCGGGGCUUAACCCCGGGCCUGCAGUGGGUACGGGCAGACUAGAGUGCGGUAGGGGAGACUGGAAUUCCUGGUGUAGCGGUGAAAUGCGCAGAUAUCGGGAGGAACACCGGUGGCGAAGGCGGUUCUCUGGGCCUUACCUGACGCUGAGGAGCGAAAGCGUGGGGAGCGAACAGG